RNAcentral lists this long non-coding RNA (2606 nucleotides) under Homo sapiens (human). RNAcentral describes it as "HSALNT0311792". The record is from RNAcentral. Lineage: Eukaryota; Metazoa; Chordata; Mammalia; Primates; Hominidae.
CUCUGGACCUGGCCCAUAAUAGGUGCUCAAUAAAUUUUUGGUAAAUAAAUGAUUCAAACUUUUUACACUUCAAGAUAAAAAGUAUGAAAAGCUGGUGGGGAUAAAGUCUCGGUUCUUUUCCUAGCCCCAGUCCCAUAGCAUUUCAGAGAUGGGGUAGGUGGUGCUACACUACUCAACAGGCUUUUGUUUUUUAACUCAUUUAACUCAAGUGAGUUGGUGAAGGCAUUCAAUUGGUGGUUUUUUAUGUAUAGAGAAAUUACCUCUGUCCUGAUUUGGAAUAUCUGUGCUAUUUUGGGCUGUUUUUCUCUUUUGGGCCUGUUUGUAUUGUAGCAAUAAUUUCACCAUUUGGCUAUGCAGAGGCCCAAUUAAUAUUACAAAUGUGGUCCUAUAAAAUGUGCUUUUUGACAUCAGAACGUUUUGUUGCUAAUUACUCUCCAAGGUUUUUAAUUUCAAGCCCUCCUUGGUGACUUAGUGCAGAAAUUUAAGGACAUAAUUAUUUCCCCCCAAGGGAAAAGAGAUCUAGGUAAUGCCAAGUUUCUAUCUAUUUGCCCUUCCUUCCAGGGGGUAUCUUGUUUUUGAUUCUAUCUCCGCCCUUUUUCCUGGACAGAAAAUAAACAUGCAAACAAAAACCCUAUUGGAACAAAAAUAUAAAUUUCUGGAAAACAUUAAAAGCACUCAUUUACUAAUGUAUUAAUUAAAACAAUAUUUACUGAGCACCUACUAUGUGUCAGAUGCUGCAUGCUAGGCACUAAAAAUAAAAAAGAAUAUAGCAUGGUGCUGUCUCCAGGUAGCUCACAGUCAAGUGGGCAGCAAGCAAGUGCUGGGAAUUCUCUGACACAUCUGGAAACAUCUGGGGGUGCUUCUCAUGGUGGGGCUUAUUCAUUAGAGCCCAUCCAGAAGUGCCACAUCAGUCUCCACGAAUUAAAAUCAGGAGAGCUUUGGCCAUUUCUCAUUUGAAGACCUUGGCUAACUGAAAGAAAUCCACAUUUUAAUAACAUUUUGAAUGGGUUGAUAAAAUAGGAACAGAUGGUUAAAGUUUGUCAUUUUAGGGAAAAUAAUGAAAUAUUGUACUGCUUAAUCUGUCUUCCUGUCACACUCUUCCCUAUCCCCUCCCUACUGAAAAUAUAUUCAGAUGCAACAAAACUUAAAGCAAAAUACUAAUAUCUUCUUAGACACUUUAGGUCUCUUCACCUGAAAGUGCUCUAAUUGUGUCAGCCAUCUCUGUGUUAACUUUAUCUUUUUUUUUUUUUCAGACACAUUCUCACUUUGUCACCAGGCUGGAGUGCAGUGGAGCAAUCUUGGUUCGCUGCAAUCUCUGCUUCCUGGGUUCAAGUGAUUCUCCUGUCUCAGCCUCCUAAGUAGCUGGGACUCCAGGCGCAUACCACCAUGACUGGCUAAUUUUUGUAUUUUUAGUAGAGACGGGGUUUCACCAUGUUGGCCAGGCUGGUCUUGAACUUCUGGCCCCAAGUCAUCUGCCUGCCUCAGCCUCCCAAAGUGCUGGGAUUACAAGUGUGAGCCACUGUGUACAGCCUUUGUGUUAACUUACUUUGAAUUAGCCCCUUAUUCCAAAGCUGCCUCCUGAAAGGAGGCUUCCUAAAAGGUGUUGCUUUGGGGUAAAUAAGAGGUGCUGGUGAAGUGAGACUAGCUUGCGCAUCUCUCUGCCAUGAAGGAAACUAGCUCCGCAGACGUUUUACUAACCACAGCAGACCCCCUCCUUGAGGAACCCAGAAGGGCAGAGGUAAGUUGGGUAACGUGUUCUUAAGUCUUCCAUUUACCUGACCCUGGGGUUCAUAUGGGGAUAAGCUCCAGCUGCUGACACCUUCUGAUCAAGAGAAGGCAGAAUGUCACCACUAUCACCUGCACUUUGUUUGGAUUUGCCUCUAUACCCACUGCAUUUCUCUGAUGUUUUUUUCUACCAUUCUGUUUGGACAGAGCAUCAGAUGAAAUCAACUGCUGAGAGAGGGAAGUGAGUGCUGUGUUGGCACCGCUGCCAGAAACUCUUGAGAAUGAGCAUCGUGUGCCACUUAUCCACUGCUUGCCGACUUCAGUAGCAAGAGCCUCCAGAAUGCUCAUGGAUAAACAUCAUCUUUGUGGCCACACAUUGUUUUAUGAGCUGAGUCAUCAGACUGGCUGGCUCCUUAAAUGCUGCUGUGUGAUUCUCUAGGCAGCAGAAAACAAGGAGAGAAGAUAUGAAGUGUAUCUCAUCGAGCUUUGUAGAGGGCCAGUAUCAUUCACCAAAGGUGAUGGGGGAUUUACCAUUAUGGAGUUUGCUUGUGAUAAAAAAUUAUUGAUCAACUUAAACUCUAAGAGAAAAAGAUGAUGCUGUCUGCAUUUCUUGUAAAUUAUUUAUAAAAUUUGUUUGGGUAUCGGCUAUUUUUAACAGCCACCAGUCUUAACGAAUUUCCUGCAGAAAACUUGAUUCCUUCCUUGCUCAUCGAGUUGCAAUUUAUCAUCUAAGGUAAUGAGUUAAACCCAAAAGUAACAGUGACAUGAUAAGUGAAACUGUUUGCAUACUUUGUUUUUUAAAUUGCUCUAUCAUGUUUAUCUUUUUUAUAGCUACUCAAUAAGACAUUGCAAUGAAUUUUUAAUUAAAACCAAUAUGUCUA